GUUUAAUUACCCAAGUUUGAG
RNAcentral lists this unclassified non-coding RNA (21 nucleotides) under Caenorhabditis elegans. Its description in RNAcentral is "mys-1". The record is from RNAcentral. RNAcentral also lists the same sequence under 3 other names. Lineage: Eukaryota; Metazoa; Nematoda; Chromadorea; Rhabditida; Rhabditidae.